Molecule: ribosomal RNA, 585 nt
Filed under: uncultured bacterium
Lineage: Bacteria
Description: partial 16S ribosomal RNA
Rfam family: Bacterial small subunit ribosomal RNA
Source: RNAcentral
UGGGGAAUUUUGGACAAUGGGCGAAAGCUGAUCCAGCAAUGCCGCGUGUGUGAAGAAGGCCUUCGGGUUGUAAAGCACUUUUGUCCGGAAAGAAAUCCUUGGCUCUAAUACAGUCGGGGGAUGACGGUACCGGAAGAAUAAGCACCGGCUAACUACGUGCCAGCAGUCGCGGUAAUACGUAGGGUGCAAGCGUUAAUCGGAAUUACUGGGCGUAAAGCGUGCGCAGGCGGUUUGCUAAGACCGAUGUGAAAUCCCCGGGCUCAACCUGGGAACUGCAUUGGUGACUGGCAGGCUAGAGUAUGGCAGAGGGGGGUAGAAUUCCACGUGUAGCAGUGAAAUGCGUAGAGAUGUGGAGGAAUACCGAUGGCGGAGGCAGCCCCCUGGGCCAAUACUGACGCUCAUGCACGAAAGCGUGGGGAGCAAACAGGAUUAGAUACCCCUGGUAGUCCACGCCCUAAACGAUGUCAACUAGUUGUUGGGGAUUCAUUUCCUUAGUAACGUAGCUAACGCGUGAAGUUGACCGCCUGGGGAGUACGGUCGCAAGAUUAAAACUUAAAUGAAUUGACGGGGUCAUAGCUGUUUCCU